AUGGCAACUGAUAGCUUUGGGUGUGGGAAAAGAGACGGGCGUGUGGACGAACUGAUAAACGCCCACAUACCAAUCCCUCUGCGUGCGUUGAAAACUGACGUGUGGGCGGAUAGAGCUGCGGUUAGAAAUUUCAGAGGUGGCGAAACAAUGCUUCCCAGCUUCGCGUAUUUUGAGAAGCUGGUGGAUCACCGAGCGCAAGAAUUCCUUCACUGCCACAACUCCCCAAAAGACCGUACCGUGCAAUCUCGAGUCUUCACUUCAGACUAUAUCCACGUAAUAACCAGUUCCCUGGACUGUGGUCCACGGUAA
This 309-nucleotide ribosomal RNA is filed under the name Triticum aestivum (bread wheat). RNAcentral describes it as "partial small subunit ribosomal RNA". The record is from RNAcentral. Lineage: Eukaryota; Viridiplantae; Streptophyta; Magnoliopsida; Poales; Poaceae.